Molecule: ribosomal RNA, 419 nt
Filed under: uncultured bacterium
Lineage: Bacteria
Description: bacterial SSU rRNA
Rfam family: Bacterial small subunit ribosomal RNA
Source: RNAcentral
UGGGGAAUAUUGCACAAUGGGGGAAACCCUGAUGCAGCAACGCCGCGUGAAGGAAGACGGUUUUCGGAUUGUAAACUUCUUUUCUUAGUGAAGAAGCAAGUGACGGUAGCUAAGGAAUAAGCAUCGGCUAACUACGUGCCAGCAGCCGCGGUAAUACGUAGGAUGCGAGCGUUAUCCGGAAUUACUGGGUGUAAAGGGAGCGCAGGCGGGACUGCAAGUUGGAUGUGAAAUACCGCAGCUUAACUGCGGAGCUGCAUCCAAAACUGUAGUUCUUGAGUGGAGUAGAGGCAAGCGGAAUUCCGAGUGUAGCGGUGAAAUGCGUAGAUAUUCGGAGGAACACCAGUGGCGAAGGCGGCUUGCUGGGCUCUAACUGACGCUGAGGCUCGAAAGUGUGGGGUAGCAAACAGGAUUAGAUACCC